AGGACGAACGCUGGCGGCGCGCUUAACACAUGCAAGUCGAGCGAGAACCUGUCCUUCGGGACAGGGGACAGCGGCGAACGGGUGAGUAACACGUGGGUAAUCAACCCUUGGCACUGGGAUAGCCCGAGGAAACUCGGAUUAAUACCGGAUGGCCCAACAGCUCUUAGGGGCGGUUGGAAAAGGUAGCUUCGGCCUCCGGCCAGGGACGAGCCCGCGGCGGAUUAGCUUGUUGGUGGGGUAAUGGCCUACCAAGGCGACGAUCCGUAGCUGGUCUGAGAGGACGAUCAGCCACACUGGGACUGAGACACGGCCCAGACUCCUACGGGAGGCAGCAGUGGGGAAUCUUGCACAAUGGGCGAAAGCCUGAUGCAGCGACGCCGCGUGAGGGAGAAGGCUUUCGGGUUGUAAACCUCUUUCAGGAGGGACGAAGCUACUCGGGUUAAUAGCCCAGAGGGUGACGGUACCUCCAGAAGAAGCCCCGGCUAACUACGUGCCAGCAGCCGCGGU
RNAcentral lists this ribosomal RNA (507 nucleotides) under uncultured bacterium. RNAcentral's name for it is "SSU rRNA". It matches the Rfam family "Bacterial small subunit ribosomal RNA", at positions 26 to 521 of the family's 1533-position model. The record is from RNAcentral.